AAGGAUUUUAGUCCUACCUUAAGUUCUUCCUUUAUUAAUAAAACAACUCUGAACUUAAGAGCUAUUCAAACAAGGUACAGCCUGUUUGAAACAGGGAACAACCUCAAAAAUAGGGUAACUCCAAAUGACAGGUGUCCAAGUGGGCCUAAAAGCAGCCAACUUUAAAAAAGCGUUACAGCUUCCUCACCAGUCACUUUAAUACCAAAAACACUACAUAACCCUUACCCAGUACUAAAUAACUCUAUACCCCUAUAGAAAUUAUUAUGCUAAAACUAGUAACAUGAAGAAGCCCUUCUCCUAAAUGUACAUGUACGCCAAAAAGAACAAUUCAUUGGCAUUUAACGCUACUGACCCUAAAGCAACAACUAUACAAGAGAAUCUUGCUAACACCAACGUUAACCUAACACAAGAACAUUUCAGGAAAGAUUAAAAGAGGUGGAAGGAACUCGGCAAAUUUUAACCCCGCCUGUUUACCAAAAACAUCGCCUCCUGCAACAUAUAGGAGGUCCAGCCUGCCCAGUGACCAAGUUAAACGGCCGCGGUACCCUAACCGUGGCGG
Molecule: ribosomal RNA, 559 nt
Filed under: Gastrophryne carolinensis (eastern narrow-mouthed toad)
Lineage: Eukaryota; Metazoa; Chordata; Amphibia; Anura; Microhylidae
Description: 16S ribosomal RNA
Source: RNAcentral